Molecule: transfer RNA, 66 nt
Filed under: Eurysternus caribaeus
Lineage: Eukaryota; Metazoa; Arthropoda; Insecta; Coleoptera; Scarabaeidae
Description: tRNA-His
Source: RNAcentral
AUUUAAAUAGUUUAGUUUAAAAUAUUGAUUUGUGGUGUCAAAGAUGUAAAAAUUUUACUUUAAAUA